RNAcentral lists this ribosomal RNA (407 nucleotides) under uncultured bacterium. RNAcentral describes it as "partial 16S ribosomal RNA". It matches the Rfam family "Bacterial small subunit ribosomal RNA", at positions 28 to 526 of the family's 1533-position model. The record is from RNAcentral.
GAUGAACGCUGGCGGCGUGCCUAAUACAUGCAAGUCGAGCGGAGCGACGGACGGGUGUGUGAUGCCUAGGGAUCUGCCUGGUAGUGGGGGAUAACGUCCGGGAACGGGCGCUAAUAACGCAUACUAUCAGAUGAGCCUCGGUCGGAUUAGCUAGUUGGUGGGGUAAAGGCCUACAAAGGCGACGAUCAGUCACUGGUCUGAGAGGAUGAUCAGUCAAACUGGAACUGAGACACGGUCCAGAUGCCUACGGGAGGCAGCAGUGGGGAAUAUUGGACAAGGGGCGAAAGCCGGAUCCAGCAAUGCCGCGUGUGUGAAGAAGGUCAGCGGACUGUAAAGCAUGUUAAGUUGGGAGGCGGUACCAAAAGAAUAAGCACCGGCUAACUACGUGCCAGCCGCCGCGGUAAUAC